UACGGAGGGAGCUAGCGUUAUUCGGAAUUACUGGGCGUAAAGCGUACGUAGGCGGCUUUGCAAGUUAGAGGUGAAAGCCUGGAGCUCAACUCCAGAACUGCCUUUAAAACUGCAUCGCUUGAAUCCAGGAGAGGUGAGUGGAAUUCCGAGUGUAGAGGUGAAAUUCGUAGAUAUUCGGAAGAACACCAGUGGCGAAGGCGACUUACUGGACACAUAUUGACGCUGAGGUGCGAAAGCGUGGGGAGCAAACAGG
RNAcentral lists this ribosomal RNA (253 nucleotides) under uncultured bacterium. RNAcentral describes it as "partial 16S ribosomal RNA". It matches the Rfam family "Bacterial small subunit ribosomal RNA", at positions 524 to 776 of the family's 1533-position model. The record is from RNAcentral.